UCGACUAAUUUGUGAUUGAAAGGUUUCACCCGCACACAUCACCUUUAUAAAGGCACUAACUGCACUAAUUUCCUUGAGGAGACUGCAAAGCGCUUUCAACCCUGAAGGACACUGAAAGAAAUAUUCAGUCAGAGUGCAGUGAUGAUUGUCUGGGUGGCUCAUCAGUGUCCUAGAUGCUUGACUGUGUGGGCACUGAAGUCAUUUUCAUUUGUUAUGCAGGGUCCACAGCUGCUUAUUGAGUGAAUAAAGUAGGAGGUGCAUGAAGAAAGAAAAUCAGAGUCAAUCAAAGGCUUAUAAACAGAUUAACAUGAAAAUCUGAUGGUUGACAGAGAAGAAGUUCUGGGGGUUGCCAGCAGUGAUGCGGUAGCUCAGACGGCUGGGAGUGGCGGUGAGGUCGGGGUCCUGCGCCUGGAUGCGGAUGACCGACACGUCUUUGGGGGAGUUCUCCAUUAUGACCGGAUGGUAGAUAGGAUCCGAGGGAGUCGGGACGGUUCCGCCGCUGAAUGAGGAGCACCUGUGCCUGAUUAAUCUCCCUCUUGUUCCUUGUGAUAAAGAGGCCGCGAGUAAAGCAGCCGCUCACCUGAAUGCAGCCAGGCCUGAACUAGCGGCUUGUGUUUUCACACACUGCUGCACUGAGAGGGGGUCGUACC
Long non-coding RNA from Betta splendens (Siamese fighting fish), 650 nucleotides. RefSeq lists it as uncharacterized. NCBI's taxonomy places the organism in Eukaryota, Metazoa, Chordata, Actinopteri, Anabantiformes, Osphronemidae. The transcript is spliced from 3 exons. The record is from RefSeq and is a predicted model, not a curated record.